UGAAUAAAAGUUGGAAACAGAAGAAAGAGUUCAUCCACGGUACAAUAUAGUAGUGCCAACCGGCGAACAUUGUCUUUAUUCAAUUAACUGUCGUGUACGAACAUAGUUUUGUAAUAAGUCCGUAAUCUAAUAAAUUGUUUUUUUUAAAAAGUCUUCGCGCUUGGCAAAGCAUAAAAUUGGCGCAGUCGGUAGGAUUUGUCAAAACGGCUCAACAAAAAUCGUGAAAAGUUUCGUUUUAACGAUUAAUUUGGCAAAUUCCGAAAUCGUGCUCGCGGACGUGUUCGACCGAAAUGAACGUUUCUUAGAUAAAGAAGACCAGGGAUCAAGGGACUACAUCGCCCUCAACCUAUUGGCAACUAGAAGUAAGAAGACCAGGGACCAAGGGACUACAUCGCCCACAACCUAUUGGCACUAGCAACUAAGGCGCAAGAAAAGAAAAACUUCAAGAAUGAAAAUCGCAAUACUUCCACUGUAAGUACAAGUUAAAAGUGAUUUCUGCUCGUUUAUUCUAACAUUUCAUGUCCUCUUCCGAAGAAGAAUUUGAGAAUAUAAUCAAACAAUUUUAACUUUCUAAUUUUUAAACGAAACGCAAUUCUAACAAAUUAAGAAUGCAUCAUCAAGCAAACCCUGAAAAUGUAGGUAUCAAUUAUCAACUUCGACGUCUUUAUGUAGAUGCAAUUCCUACUUUUGAUGGAAACCCACAUACCCUUUCCAUUUUUAUUAAUAAUUGCACUAGUCUAAUUUCAAGUUUUAUAGAGAAGGAGAGGAACUACAUAAUAGUUUCAUUGUUCGCUCUAUAAUUGGGAAAUUAACAGGUCGAGCUUUAAGUUUAAUAGGUUCUAGAAUUAAUAAACUUCAUACCUGGAACGACAUUAAAAAUACCCUUCAAUUAAGCUUUAGUGACCAACGUAAUUUAGAUUGCCUUGUUCAGGAUUUGAUAGCUUUAACACCUUCUAAAGGUGAAACACCGUAUAAUUUUGGUAUGCGAUGCCAAGAUGCACGUUCUUUGAUCUUUUCCAAACUAGAUUCUCUGAAAUUAACCGAACAAGAAAGAACAGUACGAAUCAAAAUCAAAAUUACGAAGAACUAUCAUUAAAAACUUUCAUUUGUGGAUUAACCGGUCAAUUACAAAAUAAUGUCCGACUCCGUGAUCCAAACAGUUUAGAACAAGCUAUGUCUCUCGUUAUAGAAGAAGAAAACUUUCUCUAUAGCAAAAAUCGUGCCAAUGCCCUAAAUACACAAUGUUUUAAACCAAACCAAAGAAUGAUACCAUCAACUCAAUUCAGUCAACCAAAACCAAUCAACUACCAACAUAACCAAAUACCCAAUCUUACAAACCCGUUCAAACAACAAAACCACAACAAUUUCAACUUCCCUAAGCCAUUCAACACCAACUUUCAAUUCAGAUCACCACUAUUUCAACCAAGACAAAGCCAAGUAUUCAGAAACCCAUUCAUGAAUAAUCCAAAUCGCUUUGUGCAUCAAAGACAACCCCAACCAUAUCAAAGACCAAAUUUUCCACCAAGACAAAGCCAAGUAUUCAGAAACCCAUUCAUGAAUAAUCCAAAUCGCUUUGUAUAUCCGAAACAGCCCAAACAAAAUCAUGGUAAACUUGACGAACCAAUGGAUACUUCCUCAGGUUUAUCUAAAUUCCAAAAACCAACUUUUACAGAAUUCCAUCAACAAAACGUUGAAAGUAACGAAAUGAAUUUUCAUGAUCCUAAUAAUCAGUUUCCGAAUAUCAAAACGUUUAUGCUGAUUUUAAUAACCCUGAAACCUUCAUUGACCCAGAUGAAAUAGAAGAUUACUAUGACCCAUAUCAUGAAGAAAACAGAGACUAUGACAACCAAGCAUAUUUUGAUGAACUCGAAAGAAAUAACAGAACUAGUUCAUUGCAAAUGCCCACACAAGCAUCUUAUCUUCAUGAUUCUACACAAUCUCAAUGGUACGAUAACAAUGAAAACACUGAGAAUGAAAAUUUUACAAUGCGUCCUAUAACACCCGAGAAACCUUGAUAAAUUGCAAUUUAACUGCAGCUAAUCUACCUCACAUAUACAUUCCCGAAAUAAACGCAAACUUACUAAUUGACACUGGAAGUUCUAAAAGCCUUCUAUCAAAAGAAAUCGUUGAAAAAUUCUAUUAACGAUUUAUUUUUAAUGAAGAAUUCCAAAUUCAAACAGCUCACAUGAUAUCUCGACACAACCAAGUAAUUUUCAUUCCAAUCUUCAAUAUUUGCAAAACAAAUCUAAAACACAAAUUCUACGUAUUCAAUUUCAGUAAUAAAUACUAUGGAUUAAUUGGUAUUGACUUAUUAACGGAAUUAAAAGCUAUAUUAAACGUCAAUGAUAGAAUACUAAUUACUCCCUUCGCAAGAAUUCCCGUCAUUUACGAAUCAGAACAUCAAUCAAACCGGAAUUUCAAAAACUAUUCUAUUACAAUUUCUGCAAGAUCAAAACAAAUUGUAAAAAUACCAGUGAAAUAUCCGAAUGGUACAGCCCUUGUCAACUAUUUAAAAUUUAGUGAACAAGUUGAAAUGCCCCAAGCGGUAGUAAACAUUAAUAAAUUCUUCGCAACUACCACCAUGACUAACAGUUCUGAAAAUGCCAUAUGUCUAACAAUAAACAAACUUUUCGAAGUAGAACUUUUAAACACCAGCGAAUUAAAUUUCAUUGAAAAAAUGGAAAUUAAUGAGCCUGAUGAAAUUGACAUCUCUAAAGAUAAUUUGUUAAAAGCAAAUUUAAAAAAUCUGAGACGCAAUCAUUGCAAUACAGAAGAACAAAAAGCAAUUAGAAACCUUUGUUUAGAAUUUCGUGAUAUCUAUUAUUGCGAUAAAAUUCCUUUGACAUUCACCUAUCAAAUCAGACACAAGAUAAACUUAUCUGAUAAAACCCCAAUUUUCACAAAAACGUACAGAUACCGCGAAAUCCAUAAAACCGAAGUCAUAAUAGAGUGCAAACCCAGAGAAGACGCGAACAGAAAUAGGGGAAUACCGCCAACCAGAUGGUCUGACCACAUAGGGUAAACGCUACAGUUGUUGGCACCCCGAGAGUUAUUGGCACAUUCUUCAUAAAAUAAUUAAAUUUAGGGCCUCUACAACAUCGAUUGACAUCACAAUAAUUUUUUUAAUAUCUGACAUCAUUGUCGCUAUAGUAACCGUUAAAACUGCAACCUAACAUAUAAUUGAGUUUUGUUAAUGUCAGUUCAAAGAGCUGUGUGUCGUUGGGUCUCGUAAGAUCAGAAUAAUGCCGAAGGUAGUAAACUCAGAGCCCUACCAGAAAAAAUAUUCAGAA
Long non-coding RNA from Dendroctonus ponderosae (mountain pine beetle), 3290 nucleotides. RefSeq lists it as uncharacterized. Lineage: Eukaryota; Metazoa; Arthropoda; Insecta; Coleoptera; Curculionidae. The transcript is spliced from 2 exons. The record is from RefSeq and is a predicted model, not a curated record.